This is a long non-coding RNA of Gorilla gorilla gorilla (western lowland gorilla), 404 nucleotides long. RefSeq lists it as uncharacterized. The record is from RefSeq and is a predicted model, not a curated record. NCBI's taxonomy places the organism in Eukaryota, Metazoa, Chordata, Mammalia, Primates, Hominidae. The transcript is spliced from 3 exons.
GAUCCCAUUGAGGACGCCACAUUAUGUUUCAUUGCCAUGUCUCCAUAGACUCUUCUUGGUUGUGAUGGUUUCUCACGCUUUUCUUGGUUUUGAAGACGUUGACAAUUUUCUUCCACUGGGAUUUGCUUGAUGCUUUUCUCAUGAUUACACUGGAACUGUGACUUUUUAGAAGGAAGAUCAUAGAGUCACAACAGAUGGAGGACUCAAUGCUUAUGUUGGAGAAGGAAGCUACAUUGUCCCUGAGUUCAUGGAAAUGUCAAGUCUAGAAGAUGGAAGAGUUCAGUUAAUAUCUCCAGAGACCCACAGCCUCCAGGCUGUGGGACUCCCUCAGACAGUGGCCAUGGAUGGCUGACAGGACGCAUUCUUCCCAGUCUGGCCCUGUGAAGGUAGGCAUGCCCCAUUCC